CUUGGUAGCCCUAAAGCAAAGAUUUGGGUUUUUGACGAGAAAGAAAGGAUGGCCGGGCAGCAAAUUCUCAAGCGCAUUCCAAAGAUCAAGUUCCCGGAUCGUCGCGCGGCAUCCGGCGGGAAAGCGCCAUCAAUUCCGACUCCUACGGGCGCUUCUAGCGGCGCUGGGAGUGCCUCGAUUCAACCAAAGCGGGUGCCAUUGUCCAAGGAAGAGAUGGAAGUGAUCACAAUGGGAGGUCGCUAGGCGAAAUUUGUUGGACGCUUGGUUUGAUACUAAAUUGCUUCGUUCUCGAGCUUGGGAAUUACAAGCAUUUUGUUUCUGUGA
Long non-coding RNA from Selaginella moellendorffii, 324 nucleotides. RefSeq lists it as uncharacterized. The transcript is spliced from 3 exons. NCBI's taxonomy places the organism in Eukaryota, Viridiplantae, Streptophyta, Lycopodiopsida, Selaginellales, Selaginellaceae. The record is from RefSeq and is a predicted model, not a curated record.